UACGUAGGGACCAAGCGUUGUUCGGAUUUACUGGGCGUAAAGGGCGCGUAGGCGGCAAUUCAAGUCAGCUGUGAAAUCUCCGGGCUUAACUCGGAACGGUCAGCUGAUACUGCUUUGCUAGAGUGCAGAAGGGGCAAUCGGAAUUCUUGGUGUAGCGGUGAAAUGCGUAGAUAUCAAGAGGAACACCUGAGGUGAAGACGGGUUGCUGGGCUGACACUGACGCUGAGUGCGCGAAGGCCAGGGGAGCAAACAGG
RNAcentral lists this ribosomal RNA (254 nucleotides) under uncultured bacterium. RNAcentral's name for it is "partial 16S ribosomal RNA". It matches the Rfam family "Bacterial small subunit ribosomal RNA", at positions 524 to 776 of the family's 1533-position model. The record is from RNAcentral.